AGCCCUGAGGUGAAUUUUCAUAUUGAAUUGCAAAUUCAAAGGAGCAGCUUCAAUUCUGCCGGGGCUUC
RNAcentral lists this transfer RNA (68 nucleotides) under Lepus californicus (black-tailed jackrabbit). RNAcentral describes it as "tRNA-Cys". It matches the Rfam family "tRNA". From Rfam's summary of the family: Transfer RNA (tRNA) molecules are approximately 80 nucleotides in length. Their secondary structure includes four short double-helical elements and three loops (D, anti-codon, and T loops). Further hydrogen bonds mediate the characteristic L-shaped molecular structure. tRNAs have two regions of fundamental functional importance: the anti-codon, which is responsible for specific mRNA codon recognition, and the 3' end, to which the tRNAs corresponding amino acid is attached (by aminoacyl-tRNA synthetases). tRNAs cope with the degeneracy of the genetic code in two manners: having more than one tRNA (with a specific anti-codon) for a particular amino acid; and 'wobble' base-pairing, i.e. permitting non-standard base-pairing at the 3rd anti-codon position. Lineage: Eukaryota; Metazoa; Chordata; Mammalia; Lagomorpha; Leporidae. The record is from RNAcentral.